AUGUCUCGGUUGUCAGUGAAGCGUGUGCUCAAGGCUGUGCAAAAGUUUGACGAGUAUAAGAGAUGGCUUGUAUCAGAGAUUGGGUUGGGUGGAAUACUGAAGCUUCCGAUGCUCGUCAAAUUGGACCUGGUUAUGAGGAAGGUGAAGGUCAGGCCUCGCGUAAUCGCUAUUGAUGACAACAGGAAUAUUUUCUUUACUGCAGAGGAUUUCCAUAAGAUCUUCGGGGUCCCGUGCGCCAACCGAGAUGUUCAUGGCAGGGAUGCGAACAUUGCUCCUUCAUCGAUCCAAUUCAUAAAGCAGGCAAUUGGGAUGGACAAAUCAGGAUCGAAGAACCUAAAGGAGGCUGAGAGAUUCAUCAGCAGAGACAUUUCUGAGGAAUCUAGUAAGAUUGAGAAGGAUUGUUUUCAGUUUGCGCUUGUGAUUUUCAUCAUGGGUUACAUGCUAGAGCUGUGA
RNAcentral lists this ribosomal RNA (453 nucleotides) under Triticum aestivum (bread wheat). RNAcentral describes it as "partial small subunit ribosomal RNA". The record is from RNAcentral. Lineage: Eukaryota; Viridiplantae; Streptophyta; Magnoliopsida; Poales; Poaceae.